This 287-nucleotide unclassified non-coding RNA is filed under the name Hevea brasiliensis (rubber tree). Lineage: Eukaryota; Viridiplantae; Streptophyta; Magnoliopsida; Malpighiales; Euphorbiaceae. The record is from RNAcentral.
UUUUAUUGAAAGAAACUUGUAAAUAUAUACCAGGUGCAAGGCACCGAUCGCCUCUAGAAAGACAGCCACCUUAAUUUCUUACAAUGGCAUUAUUCUACAGAAGGCUCAAUCCUAUAAUUACAAAGUUGGAAUUAAAGAAAAUGAGCAAAGGGGGAAGGUAUCAACCAUCAAGGCUGGCGGCUUCAAACAGAGUGCAGCUGUGAGAUUUCAUUUCGUAAGCAAUUAAACCUGCCAUCUGCUCGACCAUUGGUUCACCAUCUUUGGAAAAGAACCCUGGGAAUGGAAGA